This 73-nucleotide transfer RNA is filed under the name Mustela putorius furo (domestic ferret). It matches the Rfam family "tRNA". From Rfam's summary of the family: Transfer RNA (tRNA) molecules are approximately 80 nucleotides in length. Their secondary structure includes four short double-helical elements and three loops (D, anti-codon, and T loops). Further hydrogen bonds mediate the characteristic L-shaped molecular structure. tRNAs have two regions of fundamental functional importance: the anti-codon, which is responsible for specific mRNA codon recognition, and the 3' end, to which the tRNAs corresponding amino acid is attached (by aminoacyl-tRNA synthetases). tRNAs cope with the degeneracy of the genetic code in two manners: having more than one tRNA (with a specific anti-codon) for a particular amino acid; and 'wobble' base-pairing, i.e. permitting non-standard base-pairing at the 3rd anti-codon position. Lineage: Eukaryota; Metazoa; Chordata; Mammalia; Carnivora; Mustelidae. The record is from Rfam by way of RNAcentral.
ACCUGGCUGGCUCAGUUGGCAGAGUGUGUGACUCUUGAUCUCAGGGUUGUGGGUUCAAGCCGUAUGUUGGGUA